This 603-nucleotide ribosomal RNA is filed under the name Zygaena escalerai escalerai. RNAcentral describes it as "partial 12S ribosomal RNA". Lineage: Eukaryota; Metazoa; Arthropoda; Insecta; Lepidoptera; Zygaenidae. The record is from RNAcentral.
UGCGGUUAUACAAAAAUUAAAUUAAUUUUUUUUAGGAUUUAAUAAAUAAAAGUUAAAUUAAUAAUUUAAAUUUUAAAUUAUAAGGUGAAAUUUUAAUUUAAUUAAAAUUUAUUUAUUUUUAUGACAUUAAUAAAUUUUAUAAAAAACUAGGAUUAGAUACCCUAUUAUAAAAAUUUAAAUUUAAUAAUCUUAAAAUAGUAUAUAAUUUUUUAUAGAAACUUAAAUAAUUUGGCGGUAUUUUAGUUCAUUUAGAGGAAUCUGUCUAAUAAUUGAUAAUCCACGAUUAAAUUUACUUAAUUUUUAAUUUUGUAUAUCGUUGUUAAAAAAAUAUUUUUAAAUAAUUAUAAUAUUUUAAAAUUUAAAUAAAAAAUUAAAUCAGAUCAAGAUGCAGAUUAUAAUUAAGAAUAUGAUGGAUUACAAUAAAAUUUAUUUUUUGGAUAUUAAUUUGAAAUAAAUUAAUUGAAAUUGGAUUUAAAUGUAAUUUUAUUAAUUUUAAUAAAAUGAUUUUAAAUUAAAAUAUGUACAUAUUGCCCGUCGCUUUCAUUUAUAAAUUGAAAUAAGUCGUAACAAAGUAGAAGUACUGGAAAGUGUUUCUAGAAAGAU